UUAUCUCUGAGAUGCUCGGGAUAAGGGUUAGUCCCCUGAGCCGAUAUUCUUUAAUUUAGAGUGGUGUGGUUUUUAAUUGGUGUGUAUGCCUAAUUUAUUUAGGAAACCUAAAAAUUAAAACAUGCAACUCACCUUGAACCUUGGGUUCAAGGGUUACGACCCUAACGACAUCUUGGAGUGCUU
Gilliamella sp. N-G2 is the source of this 183-nucleotide non-coding RNA. The record is from Rfam. Lineage: Bacteria; Pseudomonadati; Pseudomonadota; Gammaproteobacteria; Orbales; Orbaceae.